GUCGAACGAAGCACCUUUUGAGAUUCUUCGGAUGAUCGAUCGGUGACUGAGUGGCGGACGGGUGAGUAACGCGUGGGUAACCUGCCCUGUACAGGGGGAUAACAGCUGGAAACGGCUGCUAAUACCGCAUAAGCGCACGAGGAGACAUCUCCUUGUGUGAAAAACUCCGGUGGUACAGGAUGGGCCCGCGUCUGAUUAGCUGGUUGGCAGGGUAACGGCCUACCAAGGCAACGAUCAGUAGCCGGUCUGAGAGGAUGAACGGCCACAUUGGAACUGAGACACGGUCCAAACUCCUACGGGAGGCAGCAGUGGGGAAUAUUGCACAAUGGGGGAAACCCUGAUGCAGCAACGCCGCGUGAGUGAAGAAGUAUUUCGGUAUGUAAAGCUCUAUCAGCAGGGAAGAUAAUGACGGUACCUGACUAAGAAGCUCCGGCUAAAUACGUGCCAGCAGCCGCGGUAAUACGUAUGGAGCAAGCGUUAUCCGGAUUUACUGGGUGUAAAGGGUGCGUAGGUGGCAGUGCAAGUCAGAUGUGAAAGGCCGGGGCUCAACCCCGGAGCUGCAUUUGAAACUGCUCGGCUAGAGUACAGGAGAGGCAGGCGGAAUUCCUAGUGUAGCGGUGAAAUGCGUAGAUAUUAGGAGGAACACCAGUGGCGAAGGCG
This 660-nucleotide ribosomal RNA is filed under the name uncultured Lachnospiraceae bacterium. RNAcentral's name for it is "bacterial SSU rRNA". It matches the Rfam family "Bacterial small subunit ribosomal RNA", at positions 61 to 723 of the family's 1533-position model. Lineage: Bacteria; Bacillati; Bacillota; Clostridia; Lachnospirales; Lachnospiraceae. The record is from RNAcentral.